AUGAUCGUUCUAAAUAUAAACGAUACAUACCCCUCAGAUAACGGCCAUAUUGGUCGAUAUUUCUGUCUAUGUCGUAUGGUAUGUAUGAAAAUGGUACAAAAUGAUAGAAAGAAUUUCUUAUUUAGCCCUUCCUUAAAGUUUGGUUUCCUUUUUGGCCCUAGUAAAAAAAUUCUUCUUGUUUUGACACUCAAACUUCAUUUUGUUCCCUUUAUGUCAUUUUCGUCAGUUUUGAUAACUGACACCGUUAAAUACAACAUGAAAGUCCAUUUUACCCCUGAUAUAUUUUGUGACCAAAAUUGUGAACCGGAAGUCAAAAGCAAUGGUGACAGUGGCGCGUGGACAGAAUGCAUGGGCCCAUUGGAGUAG
Molecule: ribosomal RNA, 366 nt
Filed under: Triticum aestivum (bread wheat)
Lineage: Eukaryota; Viridiplantae; Streptophyta; Magnoliopsida; Poales; Poaceae
Description: partial small subunit ribosomal RNA
Source: RNAcentral